Molecule: ribosomal RNA, 751 nt
Filed under: Streptomyces tanashiensis
Lineage: Bacteria; Bacillati; Actinomycetota; Actinomycetes; Kitasatosporales; Streptomycetaceae
Description: bacterial SSU rRNA
Rfam family: Bacterial small subunit ribosomal RNA
Source: RNAcentral
AUUAGUGGCGAACGGGUGAGUAACACGUGGGCAAUCUGCCCUUCACUCUGGGACAAGCCCUGGAAACGGGGUCUAAUACCGGAUACGACUGCGGGAGGCAUCUCCUGUGGUGGAAAGCUCCGGCGGUGAAGGAUGAGCCCGCGGCCUAUCAGCUUGUUGGUGAGGUAACGGCUCACCAAGGCGACGACGGGUAGCCGGCCUGAGAGGGCGACCGGCCACACUGGGACUGAGACACGGCCCAGACUCCUACGGGAGGCAGCAGUGGGGAAUAUUGCACAAUGGGCGAAAGCCUGAUGCAGCGACGCCGCGUGAGGGAUGACGGCCUUCGGGUUGUAAACCUCUUUCAGCAGGGAAGAAGCGAAAGUGACGGUACCUGCAGAAGAAGCGCCGGCUAACUACGUGCCAGCAGCCGCGGUAAUACGUAGGGCGCAAGCGUUGUCCGGAAUUAUUGGGCGUAAAGAGCUCGUAGGCGGCUUGUCACGUCGGGUGUGAAAGCCCGGGGCUUAACCCCGGGUCUGCAUCCGAUACGGGCAGGCUAGAGUGUGGUAGGGGAGAUCGGAAUUCCUGGUGUAGCGGUGAAAUGCGCAGAUAUCAGGAGGAACACCGGUGGCGAAGGCGGAUCUCUGGGCCAUUACUGACGCUGAGGAGCGAAAGCGUGGGGAGCGAACAGGAUUAGAUACCCUGGUAGUCCACGCCGUAAACGUUGGGAACUAGGUGUUGGCGACAUUCCACGUCGUCGGUGCCGCAGCUA